GGCUUUUUGAAUCCGUGCUGAGAUUUCGUCAGACACCAACCUAUUGGGGCUGAUUAGACUUCCAAGAUAAGUGUUGUC
This 78-nucleotide microRNA precursor is filed under the name Schistosoma mansoni. RNAcentral's name for it is "mir-3492 microRNA precursor family". It matches the Rfam family "mir-3492 microRNA precursor family". The record is from Rfam by way of RNAcentral. Lineage: Eukaryota; Metazoa; Platyhelminthes; Trematoda; Strigeidida; Schistosomatidae.